Molecule: RNA transcript, 2593 nt
Organism: Pygocentrus nattereri (red-bellied piranha)
Lineage: Eukaryota; Metazoa; Chordata; Actinopteri; Characiformes; Serrasalmidae
Gene: sfpq
Gene name: splicing factor proline/glutamine-rich
Exons: 12
Source: RefSeq, a predicted model, not a curated record
UGUCCUUUGUUGCGCGGCUCGAUCAGCCAUUUUACGGACGGGAGACGGUGCGGAGAGACGGGCAGCUUGUGUGUCCGUAAUCCUCAGUAGCUGACUUUCUGUAGCGCCCCAAAAACGUUUUCACGUUUAACCGAGAAUCUAAGAUCUGUUGUAACGGUUCCUCGAUCUCAACAGUCCGACAUGUCUCGCGAUCGAUUCAGAAACCGCGGAGGAGGAUUCCAGCAGCGAGGAGGAGGAGGCCGCGGCGGUUUAGGAGGAAUGCGAGGUGGAAUGGGAAAUCCAAAUUUCCGAAACCAGAACACCCCUCAGCAUCCCUUUCAAAACCGAGGACCCCAGCCGGGCGGUGGGUUUAAGCCCAAUCAGGGAAACCAGCCGAAUCAAGCGCAUCCUCCUCCAAACCAGACUAACGUUACACCACAGAAGCCGGAGGCGGGGAGUGGAAACGUCGCCCCGAAGCCCGAAAUUAAGUCCCCGCCGCAGCAGCAACCCCAGCCCCAGCAACAGCAACAACAGCAGCCGCCGCCACAGGGUCCAGGCCUUCCUCAGAACAAAACCCCGACCCCGCAGCCGCUGGGCGGCAGCGCAGGUCCGCCGAAGAUGCAGUCUCCUCCGCCGAAAACCGUGAACGCGAAGCAGGAACCGGCAACCCCUCAGAAUCCGUUCAGAAAAAACCUGCCGAAGCCGGCCGCAGGAAACGGCCAGAAACCCCCGAACAGCCAGGCCCCGCCGCCCCAGGCCGAACAACAGGACCAGAAGCCCCAGGAAUUGAAGGCAACAUUGUCGCUGCUUCGCAAACCUGGAGAGAAAACUUACACUCAGCGAUGCCGGUUGUUUAUUGGUAAUUUGCCCAACGAUAUCUCGGAAGCGGAUUUCAGAAGGUUGUUUGCAAAGUAUGGGGAACCCAGUGAGAUCUUCAUCAAUCAAGGCAAAGGUUUUGGUUUCAUCAGACUGGAGUCACGUGCGUUAGCAGAGAUUGCAAAAGCUGAACUGGAUGACAUUCCCAUGAAAGGCAGACCUCUUAGGGUACGCUUUGCAACACACUCUGCUGCGCUUUCUGUGCGCAACCUAUCCCCCUUUGUCUCCAACGAGCUUCUAGAGGAGGCAUUCUCUCAGUUUGGAGUGGUUGAGAGGGCAGUGGUUAUCGUAGAUGACCGUGGGCGUUCGACUGGGAAGGGCAUCGUUGAGUUUGCUACCAAGCCUGCUGCACGAAAGGCACUCGAUCGGUGCAACGAUGGCGUGUUCCUGCUCACGUCGGCACCACGUCCAAUUGUUGUUGAGCCACUGGAACAGUAUGAUGAUGAGGAUGGUCUUCCAGAGAAGCUUGCUCAGAAGAACCCAAAUUAUCAGAAAGAGAGAGAGCAGCCUCCACGUUUUGCCCGACCAGGCACCUUUGAGUUUGAGUACUCCCAACGAUGGAAGUCUCUUGACGACAUGGAGAAACAACAGAGGCAGCAAGUUGAGAAAAAUAUCCGUGAGGCUCGUGAGAAACUGGAAACGGAGAUGGAGGAUGCCUAUCACGAGCACCAAGCUAAUCUGCUUCGACAAGAUCUUUUGAGGCGUCAAGAGGAACUGCGACGCAUGGAAGAGAUGCAUAAUCAGGAAAUGCAAAAACGCAAAGAGAUGCAGCUGAGGCAAGAGGAGGAGAGGCGCAGACGAGAGGAGGAAAUGUUGCGGCAGAGGGAAUUGGAAGAGCAGAUGAGGCGUAAGCGUGAGGAGUCCUACAGGAUGGGCAGCAGCUUUAUGGACAAUAGGGACAGGGAAAUGAGGAUGAAUCCUGGAGGAGGUCUUGGUUUGGCAGAUAUGCCCUUUGGCUCCCCCAACCAGAAGUUUCAGUUUGCUGGAAUGAACUUCGAUAGUCACCAGGGGAUGGGUGGACCGGCGUCAGGCAUGGUGCCCAACGAAAUGGAGCAUCAAGUGGUUGAGGCAGGCUGAGUGCCAGACCUUUUGAAAUAUGGUCAUUGGAUAAAUGUAGCCCAUAAACCAGUAGCUCUUCAGGCUCGUAUGGAUGUGAUCCUUUGGAGUAAAAGCUGCAGGGAGAGUGGCCAAAUUUACUGGACAGGAGUCAUAAGGAGCAGCAUUUGCAGACUUUUCAGAAUGAUUUGAACACUUUUUUUUUUUUCCUUCGCCUAAUAUGACGUGCGAAUUGAAUUAGUCUGUUAUGUACCCAGAGUUACAGUCUCCAUGUACUUGGUGCUGUUCUUGUUGCAUAGUUUCAAAACCAGAAGUCCCAACACUCUGAAGUUUGGCAGCAUCUAUAGUGUUGUCUACAACAGGUUAAGUUCAAGAGGUUUGUGUUUCUCUUGUUUUAUCACUGUUGUAUCUUAUUGGGUUGCUGUUAAUUCUGGCGUUGAUCCAGUGUAGAGGACGGGAGCCUGCAAGCCGAUAGCACGAAACAGAAGUUGCUGUGAAUGUGGGUCAAUGGUCCUGUCUGACCUGCAUUGCACACUGGCCAGUGAGUUUCUGAAAUGGAAGUCUUUAUUUUUAUCUGAAAAAUAAAAGUUGUGAAGUGUCUGUAACGCGUGUUCUUUUUUGGUUGUGAUUCUAGAGAAUAAUCACUUUUACUUGGCUCAAUAAACCAUGUUCUUUUGCUGUU